This 200-nucleotide unclassified non-coding RNA is filed under the name Tomentella sp. RNAcentral describes it as "partial internal transcribed spacer 2". Lineage: Eukaryota; Fungi; Basidiomycota; Agaricomycetes; Thelephorales; Thelephoraceae. The record is from RNAcentral.
UUAAGUUCAGCGGGUAGCCCUACCUGAUUUGAGAUCAAACAUUCAAGAAGCUGUCCUCGCUGAGGAGAGACAUUUGUGAGCUCCAGCGAACCUCCAUUGCUGAAGGUUACCUGGUGGAAGCCACAAGCGUAGAUAGUUAUCACACCUGUGAUGCCACCAAACACUGGCAAGCUGAUUCGUUUGAGAGGAGCUGACCACGG